RNAcentral lists this transfer RNA (59 nucleotides) under Liposcelis bostrychophila. RNAcentral's name for it is "tRNA-Ser". Lineage: Eukaryota; Metazoa; Arthropoda; Insecta; Psocodea; Liposcelididae. The record is from RNAcentral.
AGAAGUAUAAACUAUCUGCUUCUAACAGACUAACAUCGAGCCGCUCUCGAAUACUUCUA